RNAcentral lists this transfer RNA (66 nucleotides) under Marmota monax (woodchuck). Its description in RNAcentral is "tRNA.Ala". It matches the Rfam family "tRNA". From Rfam's summary of the family: Transfer RNA (tRNA) molecules are approximately 80 nucleotides in length. The record is from RNAcentral. Lineage: Eukaryota; Metazoa; Chordata; Mammalia; Rodentia; Sciuridae.
GGUGUGGCUCAGUGGUAGAGCACUCGCCUAGCACGUGAGGGACACUGAGUUCGAUCUUCAGCACCA